This 492-nucleotide ribosomal RNA is filed under the name uncultured bacterium. RNAcentral describes it as "partial 16S ribosomal RNA". It matches the Rfam family "Bacterial small subunit ribosomal RNA", at positions 29 to 507 of the family's 1533-position model. The record is from RNAcentral.
AGUGAACGCUGGCGGUAGGCCUAACGCAUGCAAGUCGAACGGCAGCACAGUAAGAGCUUGCUCUUACGGGUGGCGAGUGGCGGACGGGUGAGGAAUACAUCGGAAUCUACUUUUUCGUGGGGGAUAACGUAGGGAAACUUACGCUAAUACCGCAUACGACCUACGGGUGAAAGCAGGGGUUCUUCGGACCUUGCGCGAUUGAAUGAGCCGAUGUCGGAUUAGCUAGUUGGCGGGGUAAAGGCCCACCAAGGCGACGAUCCGUAGCUGGUCUGAGAGGAUGAUCAGCCACACUGGAACUGAGACACGGUCCAGACUCCUACGGGAGGCAGCAGUGGGGAAUAUUGGACAAUGGGCGCAAGCCUGAUCCAGCCAUACCGCGUGGGUGAAGAAGGCCUUCGGGUUGUAAAGCCCUUUUGUUGGGAAAGAAAAGCAGCAGGUUAAUACCCCGCUGUUCUGACGGUACCCAAAGAAUAAGCACCGGCUAACUUCGUG